RNAcentral lists this ribosomal RNA (197 nucleotides) under uncultured bacterium. RNAcentral's name for it is "partial 16S ribosomal RNA". It matches the Rfam family "Bacterial small subunit ribosomal RNA", at positions 328 to 539 of the family's 1533-position model. The record is from RNAcentral.
ACGCUCGACACCUACGGGGGCAGCAGUGGGGGAUAUUGCACAAUGGGGGAAACCCUGAUGCAGCAACGCCGCGUGAGGGAAGAAGGUUUUCGGAUUGUAAACCUCUGUCCUUGGUGACGAUAAUGACGGUAGCCAAGGAGGAAGCUCCGGCUAACUACGUGCCAGCAGCCGCGGUAAUCUGAGCGGGCUGGCAAGGC